Molecule: transfer RNA, 73 nt
Filed under: Spirochaetaceae bacterium
Lineage: Bacteria; Pseudomonadati; Spirochaetota; Spirochaetia; Spirochaetales; Spirochaetaceae
Also listed under: 1 other name
Description: tRNA-Thr
Rfam family: tRNA
About the family: Transfer RNA (tRNA) molecules are approximately 80 nucleotides in length. Their secondary structure includes four short double-helical elements and three loops (D, anti-codon, and T loops).
Source: RNAcentral
GCCAAAGUAGCUCAGUUGGCAGAGCGGCGCACUCGUAAUGCGCAGGUCUGGGGUUCGACUCCCCACUUUGGCU